Long non-coding RNA from Cannabis sativa, 1141 nucleotides. RefSeq lists it as uncharacterized. The record is from RefSeq and is a predicted model, not a curated record. Lineage: Eukaryota; Viridiplantae; Streptophyta; Magnoliopsida; Rosales; Cannabaceae. The transcript has 2 exons.
GUGUUCGGGGUAAUUGGUUAUGACCAAUUUACUCUUAGAUUAAUGUUUACUUAAGUACCAAUUUAGUAGGUAAAAAGUAUUUUAAUUAAGUUUUUUUUUUUGGCUUUAGUAGUGAUGUUUGUGUUGGUGAUACUAGUAGAUAAUAUUAGAAUGCAUUAGUUUAGUUGAUAGACUUAGGAAAAUCAAGAAGAAGAAAAAACACAAUCUCUCUCUCUCUCUCUCUCUCUCUCUCUCUCUCUCUCUCUCUCUCUCUCUCUCUCUCUCUCUCUCUCUCUCUCUCUCUCUCUCUCUCUCUCUCUCUCUCUCUAUCUCUCUCUCUCUCUCUCUACUUGGGUAAGGAAGGACCAAGAGACUCAAUUCUAGCCAAAUUUUUCAAACCCUUUCUCAUCAAUUUCCUCAAGGUUUUCAGUUGAGUUUAAGGUAGAAUCGUGGAAGAUAUGAUCAAGGUUUUGGUUGAGAGAUCAAGCUUGAGUUCAUGAGAACUCAAGCUUGAGCUCUAAUGGCAGAUUUGGAUAGAUGGAGUUUUGUGUUGCUUGAGUUGUGUUAUCUGUUGUAUUGAUGUUAAUAGGCUAUCAUAGAGAAUGUGGUUGAAAUUGGUUGAGUUCUGGUUGGUUUGUGAAGUUUAAAGUUCAAUGCAAAGAGUCAUUACUCUAAAUUGAGACCGUAGUGACAUUGGAUGUCUGGUUAGGCUUAUCAAGGUUGUCUCAUUAGGCAACAGUAGAUAGGCUUACUUUAUGAGGUAACCAUUACAGCUUGUCUUAUUAGACAUAUAAUUGUGUAGCUUUGAAUUAUUUUACAUAUGUGAUUAUUUAUACUACUUAUAUGUAAUUGAUUGGAAUUACUUGUAUGUCGGCAUGUGAUUAUUGCUUUACUUUUCUCGAUGAGUCGUUGUAACUCACAAGUACUUUUUAAUACAAGUAAGGGCAAUGGUAAAUUAGGGCAGCCAUGAGUUAGCAUUCAUCUUCGAUAGAUGUACAUUUCAAUCUAUCCGGAUUGCAGAGCUGAGUUGUCAGGGAAUAUUUUGGUGUUGUAUCUGUAUAGUAUUUUGGAUAAAAAUUCCGUAUUAAACCUUUUGUAAAACUUUUGUAACAGGAGAUCUUUGAAACGAAAUAUUUAUUGAUGUAACCUUUUUAUUUUAAAA